Molecule: ribosomal RNA, 354 nt
Filed under: uncultured bacterium
Lineage: Bacteria
Description: bacterial SSU rRNA
Rfam family: Bacterial small subunit ribosomal RNA
Source: RNAcentral
AACGAACGCUGGCGGCAGGCCUAACACAUGCAAGUCGAGCGCCCCGCAAGGGGAGCGGCGGACGGGUGAGUAACACGUGGGAACGUACCCUUUGCUACGGAAUAGUCUCGGGAAACUGGGGGUAAUACCGUAUGUGCCCUUCGGGGGAAAGAUUUAUCGGCAAAGGAUCGGCCCGCGUUGGAUUAGGUAGUUGGUGGGGUAAUGGCCUACCAAGCCGACGAUCCAUAGCUGGUUUGAGAGGAUGAUCAGCCACACUGGGACUGAGACACGGCCCAGACUCCUACGGGGAGGCAGCAGGUGGGGAAUCUUAGACAAGUGGGCGCAAGCCUGAUCUAGCCAUGCCGCGUGAGCGAU